This 315-nucleotide ribosomal RNA is filed under the name uncultured eukaryote. RNAcentral describes it as "partial 18S ribosomal RNA". It matches the Rfam family "Eukaryotic small subunit ribosomal RNA", at positions 1470 to 1796 of the family's 1831-position model. The record is from RNAcentral.
CCCUUAGACGUUCUGGGCUGCACGCGCGCUACACUGACGCACGCAACAGGUGCCUGCUCCGAGAGGACUGGGUAAUCAUUUGAGUGUGCGUCGUGAUGGGGAUAGAAUAUUGUAAUUAUUACUCUUCAACGAGGAAUUCCUAGUAAGCGCCAGUCAGCAGCUUGCGCUGAUUACGUCCCUGCCCUUUGUACACACCGCCCGUCGCUCCUACCGAUGGGUGAUCCGGUGAAUGAUUCGGACUUCAGCGGCUCCCCUGGGGUGCGCCGGAGAAAGUUUUGUGAACCUUAUCACUUGGAGGAAGGAGAAGUCGUAACA